RNAcentral lists this small nuclear RNA (191 nucleotides) under Zalophus californianus (California sea lion). RNAcentral describes it as "U2 spliceosomal RNA (ENSZCAG00015024284.1)". It matches the Rfam family "U2 spliceosomal RNA". Rfam says of the family: U2 is a small nuclear RNA (snRNA) component of the spliceosome (involved in pre-mRNA splicing). Lineage: Eukaryota; Metazoa; Chordata; Mammalia; Carnivora; Otariidae. The record is from RNAcentral.
AUUGCUUCUAGGGCUUUUGGCUAAGAUCAAGUGUGGUAUCUGUUCUUUUUAGUUUAAUAUCUGAUACGUCCUCUAUCCGAGGACAAUAUAUUAAAUGGAUUUUUGGAGUAGGGAGAUGGAAUAGGAGCUUGCUCCAUCCACUCCACGCAUCGGCCUGGUAUUGCACUGCUUCCAGGAAUGGUGCACCCCCU